This 1122-nucleotide long non-coding RNA is filed under the name Homo sapiens (human). Its description in RNAcentral is "non-protein coding lnc-MYC-16:1". Lineage: Eukaryota; Metazoa; Chordata; Mammalia; Primates; Hominidae. The record is from RNAcentral.
CAGUGCGAUAUAAAACUUGCCGAGGGCUCUGCCUGGUGGCUCUGGUCCCACAGGGGCCGUUGGCCCAGGCGGACGGACCCUGAGCUGAGGUAGCCCGCUGCUGGAGAGGCUGUUCGCCUGGGGCGGGCUCUUGUGGACCUUCCUCAAGCACCAGGCAGGGUCUGAAGCCCAUUUGAAGGUCAGGAGGCCCGAGGUGGUGGCGGUGGUCAAGCUGCUGAACGAGAAGGAGCAGGAGCUGCGGGAGACCAAGAGCUUGCUGCACGAUGAGGAUGAAAAUUUAAGGAAAUGUGCAGAGAAUGAAAUAACUUUGUGUCAAAAAGAAAUAACUCAGUUGAAGCAUCAGAAGAAACAGAUGAAAAUGAUCUGAUCCUGCAAGUAACUGCAGGAGUUGGAAGACAGGAGGCAAUGUUGUUUACUUCAGAGAUAUUUGAUAUGUGUCAGCAAUAAGCUGCAUUUAAAAGAUGGCAUUUUGAGACCCUGGAAUAUUUUCCAAGUGAAAUAGGUGGACUUAGACAUGUAUCUGCCAGUAUUGGGGGUUCAGAAGCCUAUAGGCACAUGAAAUUUGAAGGAGGUGUGCACAGAGUACAAAGAGUGCCAAAGACAGAAAAGCAAGGCUGCAUCCAUGCUAGCACCAUGACUGUAAGCAGUAUUGCCCCAACCUACUGAGAUUAAUCUGGUGACUAAUCCAAAAGAUUUGAGAAUCAACACUAAGCGAGCCAGUGGAGCUGCGGGGGCAGCAUGUAAAUACCAUGGACAGUGCUGUCCGGAUAGUUCAUCUUCCAACGGGUGUUUCUGAAUGCCAACAAGAGAGAUCUCACCCGAAAAAAUAAAGAGCUGGCUAUGAAAAAGUUAUGUGUAAAACUGUACAACAUGUAUCUAGAAGAAGAAAUGAAUAAAAGACACGAUGCUAGAAAAAUUCAGAUUGGAAGUAAAGGAAGAUCAGAGAAAAUAAGAACAUAUAAUUUUCCACAGAACCAGGUCACAGAUCACAGAAUAAGCAAGUCACUGCAUGAUCUUGAAACUGUUAUGCAAGGAGAUUAUCUACUGGAUGAACUUGUACAGUCAUUGAAGAAAUAUGCUGAUUAUGAAUCUUUAGUAGAAAUUAUUUCCCAAAAAGUUUAA